GCAGGCCACACACUGCGCAUGCUCCCCUCCCAGGUGCUGGCAGGCCACUGCGCAAGUGUGGACAGCCUACACCAAGGGAAGAGUCAGGGGAGAAGGAACACAAGACUCCGGAAGCAUGCCAGCGUAUAAAACCACACUUUGCCUCAUUGGUUCGUGCCUCAGCUUCCAAUCUGGACAUGGAGCACAAUAACAGUGGGCCCACUGCUCUCCGAAUUCCUGCGCGCACUUGAAGGGAGUGUCUGGUGCAGGCAUGCAGGGAGGAAGAAUGACUCUGAGCUUGACCAUUCAACUUCGAAACUUUAACAUCAAUGGAUCAGCACACACUGGUGUACGGUCUGCUAUGCAUGCAGCCCUGUGCUAGGCAAAAGAAGUAUCAGACCAGGAACUGACAGCCUCACUGCAACAGGAAGAGAGGCUUCACACAAUAAGCGUUUCAUUCAACCAGGCUGGACCUGUGCUUAUUGAGUUGAACAUCACUGAGCACAAAAUGCAAGCCAGACACCAUAAGAGCUGUAAGGAUGAUAAAGAUGUCUUUCUACCCUCGAGAGCUCUAAGUGUGGUCAGGAGAGAAACACAUGCAAAGAUUAUGCUGGCUGGAAGGAAAUGCUGGAAUGAAGGUGGAAGGUACAUCCAGAAUGUUCUGGGGGUGAGGAAUAGCGAAUGAUGGGUUCUGACUUAGAACAUGAAGGGAAGGUAUUAAGAAAGAGGUGAUAUUAAGCAUUUAUUGAGCAUCUCUACUUUUUUUGUGUAUGUGACCUUGUUUGGAAAUACAAUAUCUCUUCUUGAUGCUGGCAAUGAAUAGUAUGACAACCUUCUGUCCUCACAGAGCUUCCAACAAACAGAGGCUGUGGAGGGUUGAGAGGAGCUGGGGACAUAUGAGCAAAGGUCUGGAAGUGGAUGUUGUGUCUGGGGUGGGAGGCAUGUUGGGUGGUGGUGGGUGGGACGCUCUGAGAUCAGGUUGACAUGGGAGUGGUGCUAUGUGUGGAGGGUGGUCAGUGCCAUCACAGGGCAUUUUUACUAGGCUUUACUGCCUGGUCAAACAUUUGGCACCCAAAGUUGAUCCACCCUCUCCUAGUGGAAAUGAAGCAUCUCAUUACUAACUGGGCUUUUGUUCAAACCCCAACAUCUGGUUGGAUGGGCCUGAGGCCCCCAACCAGAGCUGAGCAGCCUCUGGGGAGGCUCAGUUUCUGAGCAAAGACAGGCGAUGUGAUCAGUCCUGUGCCUUAGGCAGGUGGUGAUAAAAGGACACUUUAGAAGGGUCAGAAAUGGGAGAGCUGGAAGCCAAUACCAUGGCAAUCAUUUGUGCAAGAGAUGAUGAAGACCUGUGUAGAUGGAAGGGAAGGAAGGGACAGCUGGGAGCUGACCAGGAUGAGCCAAUAAUUAGAUGCAGAAGUGAAGGAGUCAGAAUGACAUUGGAACAGGGUGGGUAGGAGGAGGGAGGGGACCAUCACUAAGACAGAGAACACAGAAAGGGAUCUGAUUUUGCGUGGAAAUCUGCGUUGUGUUUUGGACAUGCUGAUUUGGGAGAUACUUGAGGUGGUGAUGCCUCCUGGGAGCUGGAAAUAUAAGGCUGGUGCUUAGGAGAGAAGGCAGCAUGAGACGUGUUGACCCGGGCAUCAUCUACAGAGAAACAGCCUGAAGCCCUUGCCUGGUGGGAGUUUAUAAAAGACUUACGGGAUAACUGACAGCUAUCAGGGGGAGAGAAAAUGGUGAUUAAUUAGGCUGAGACACAGAAUCUUAUCAUUGGCAAGGCUUUUGGACAUGAGGUGGCUUAAAUAUUAGAGAUAUUUAAUAAAUGUUUGUCAAAUCAAACCAAACUUCCCACCUAGUGCAAAUGUCACAUGGCAUAAGUGUCACCCAUCUAUCCAGAUGGCACUUGAAUUCUUCCAGGGGCAAGGACAUUACCUCAUGACGUCCAUUUUACUGUUAGACACCUAAAAUAGUUCCUGGUACAGAGUAAGUGAACAAGAAAUCCACUAUCUUUUGAAUGAAGGAAUGAACGAGUGGGUAAAUCACAUUGUCUCAGGCUCCAUGCUGAGUCUGAUGGGAUGGCAAGACAUUCAGGGGAGACAGACAGAGGUUAGGCUGGAAAGUUACCAACACACUGGUGACAGCUGAAGCUAUGAUGGGGACCAAGAUCUUUAUGGGACAGAGCAGAGAGAGAGAAGCACAGGAGAGGCAAGGAUGAAGCUCUUUUGUUCAUGUAUCCAUUCACCAACUUGUUUUUGUUUUUUAUUUAGAGACGGGGUCUCAUUAUGUUGCCCAGGCUGGUCUCGAACUCCUAAGCUCAGGUGAUCCACCUGCCUUGGCCUCCCAAAGUACUAGAAUUACAGAUGUCAGCCACUGUGAUGGCCAAUUCAACAGCUUCUUAUUGAACACUUGUUAUAUUCUAGCCAAAGGCCCUGCCCUUGGGAAGCUUGCAUUCUAGUGGGGAGAGGGCAAUAAAUAAAUGAGCAGAUAGAGAUAUAUAAUGCAAUUGAUUAUAAGUGAAGCAAAGCAAAAUAAAGCUGGAUAAGAGGACAGAAAAGGACAGGGUGCUAUUUUCAAUAGAACGGCUGGACAAGGCCCCUUUUAAUCAAAGUGAGGGGGCAAAGCAGGGUGCUAAGACUGAAAACCCUUGGUCCCAACUUCCUGUGGUUACAAACAGGGUUGAAUUAUCUAGGAACAUGGGCAAACACUGGUCUGUAAAUCUCCUAAGUGGUAAUGUGGGAACCCCCUAAGAGUUUAGCAGUUGAGCUCUUUCUUCCAAACUUCUCUUUCUCUAGGCGGAACUUCCCAAGCUGCCAAUGGCCUCCAUUGGGGCCUGGUCAUUUAGAGGGAAAAAUGACAUCAGCAACCUAGGUGCUGACAGCUGACAAAGUUCUUUCAAAUGCACAAUGAAACCGGCCUUUGCAAUCAUGCCUUAGAAAUCUUAUUUUAUAGAUGAGAAAACUGAGGCUCAGAAAGAUUAAACAACUUGCUGCAAGUUACAAAAUUCAUAAUUAUUGGAGCUGAGGUUCUAACCCAAGUGUAUCUGCAGUAACUUUGACUUUUUUAUUGUUAAUUCUAAUAAAACUUGAUCAAAUUCUCAAAGGGAGGUGAAGUUAGGAGGAGGAGAAUAGGCUAACAUUUACUGAGUGUCUACCUCAUGUCUAGGAUUGAGUAGGUAUUUACAGGUAUUAUCAUAUUUUAUCCUCACAACACCAUAAAAGCUAGGUACUCAUGCCCAUCUUACAGAUGAGGAAACUGAGGUACAGUGAGGCUGGCAAUAUACCAAAGGUCCUAUGGCCACUGAAUGAUGAACUGGGUUGGAGCAUAGGUUACCCUGAAAAUAAACUCCUGGUUUCCAACUUUUUCCUUUAUAUCUAGACAUUUCAUUUAAACCGUGAAAGUUUCAUUAAGACCAUCAAACUUCUCCUGCUGUUGGUCCCUAUUGAGAACCUGGUGCUGAAAUGAGCUGAAAAGGCCAAACUCUAACUUAAGUGCAUAGAGAAAGGACAGUAGUCUGGAAUGUUGCUGCUGGUCUAAGUGUGAGGAUAAUUCUAUUGCCUCUUGUGAAUACUAAACAUAUUCUGAUAGUGCUAUUUUUUUUCACAGCAUUCUAUUCAUCUAAAAGCACCGGUAAUUAACGAUGCUAAUAAAUGUAUAAUCCCUUUGUAAACAUCUCUUCACAAGGUCAUAAAGAAGGAAGACUGAAUGAAGGACGCCAGGCUUUCAUUUUAGAAUUAAUUUUGUCAUUGAAUGCACUCACUGCAUUAUUUGAUAGAGUACUUUUGCAUUUGAAGUAGUACAUUUGCCUUCUACCAUCUCAUUAACAUUGCUUUCAACAGAAUCAGAAAUAACACAAACCACUGCAGGGUAAUUUUGAAUGCUCAUUUGACUAUGCAGUGACAUCAAGUGGCGAGUUGAGGAAUGAUCAUAUGCUGUGUGAGAACUCCGUGUUAAAAAUUCCAUGGAGCCAGGCUAGACACCACAUUUGGCACUUUCAGCUGUUUAGAUUUCAGAGAAUUAAAAGGAAAUGGUCACCGACCUGCCUUUGAUAGUACCCGUAUACCCCUUCCCACCAUAAGAAACCAGCGUUCCUUAGAGAAAUGGCUAAUUCUAGCUCUAGGGCAAGAAAUGCUAAGAUGUGCUCAAAACAUCUCAUUAUACCAGCAAGCCAGGGAGCCAUCAACGACUACUGGAGCUGUGUCAAAAGGACCAACAAACCAACUUGAAGAGGCUCCCGCUGGCCAACAGUGGGGCAAUUAGAGCAUCAAUAAGAAUAAUAUCUGUAACAAACUGAAACGUAUCAAAUAUGUUUAAAUUCAUAUGUUUAUAAUUACACUCAAAAAACGAAGAUGCAGACCACUUUACCUUGAGGAUGUUACAGAAUGAAAUUAUCAUUCUGAAAACUGGUAAAUAAAGAGAAGGUAUCAAGUAAGCAUGUAUCUGGCUUUUUCUAUAUGAAAUAAAGGAAGCCAAAUAGUAAACGAGGGGAAGUUUCUCUUUACUGAAAUAUUGCAGGUAAUAAAAGAAGAAGGAGAAACAGAGAACAUUAUCGUUUUAUGGCCUCUAAUGGAACAAGACAUCUAGGCAAUGAUGAACUAUGGUCACCAACAUCACUCAAUCAGGGACAAUCAGACACUGUGGGCCCCUGAAGGAAGUAAACACCACCACGUAGGAAAUAUUCUCACCAAAACUUCAAAAACUUGAAUCUGAUCUAGUCUUUAGUUUCAACUACUAAUUUACAGGCAAUACGGGGCUCAGAGGGAUGUGGUAAAAUGUCACGGAAAUAUAAUCAGCAAAAUCCAGUACAGAUAAUAAGAAGACAAAUGAUCCACAGAUGGAAAGGAAGAAUGUAAAGUUGUGUUGGUAAAGAAAUUCACAGAUUAAUAAAAGCUUAAAAAUGUACCAUCAGCCAGGUGUGGUUGUGUGCAACUGUAGUACCAGCUACUUGAGAGGCUGAGGUGGGAGGAUUACCUGAGCCCAGGAGUUUGAGGCUGCAGUGAGCUAUGAUCACACCACUGCACUGCAGCCUGGGCAACAGAGCAAGGCCUUGUCUCUUAACAACAACAACAAAAAGAAAGUACUACAAAAUCUGACUUGGAUCCAGAUUCUAACAAAAUAUUAAAACAAAUGAUGGCCAGGCGUGGUGGCUCACGCCUGUAAUCCCAGCACUUUGGGAGGCCGAGGCAGGUGGAUCACAAGGUCAGGAGUUCAAGACCAGCCUGGCCAAGAUGGUGAAACCCUGUCUCUACUAAAAAACUACAAAUAUUAGGCACAGUGGCAGGUUCCUGUACUCCCAGCUACUUGGGAGGCUGAGGCAGGAGAAUUGCUUGAACCCAGGCAGCAGAGGUUGCAGUGAGCCAAGAUCGCAC
Molecule: long non-coding RNA, 5339 nt
Filed under: Homo sapiens (human)
Lineage: Eukaryota; Metazoa; Chordata; Mammalia; Primates; Hominidae
Description: PREDICTED lncRNA (TCONS_00052798)
Source: RNAcentral